This 485-nucleotide ribosomal RNA is filed under the name uncultured bacterium. RNAcentral describes it as "bacterial SSU rRNA". It matches the Rfam family "Bacterial small subunit ribosomal RNA", at positions 28 to 524 of the family's 1533-position model. The record is from RNAcentral.
GAUGAACGCUGGCGGCGUGCUUAACACAUGCAAGUCGAACGAUGAAAGCGGGAGCUUGCUCCUGCUGGAUUAGUGGCGAACGGGUGAGUAACACGUGAGUAACCUGCCCUUGACUCUGGGAUAAGCGUUGGAAACGACGUCUAAUACCGGAUACGACCUUCGGAGGCAUCUCCUGGGGUGGAAAGAAUUUCGGUCAAGGAUGGACUCGCGGCCUAUCAGCUAGUUGGUGAGGUAAUGGCUCACCAAGGCGACGACGGGUAGCCGGCCUGAGAGGUGACCGGCCACACUGGGACUGAGACACGGCCCAGACUCCUACGGGGGCAGCAGUGGGGAAUAUUGCACAAUGGGCGCAAGCCUGAUGCAGCAACGCCGCGUGAGGGACGAACGGCCUUCGGUUGGUAAACCUCCUUUAGUUAGGAAGAAGCGAAAGUGACGGUACCUGCAGAAAAGACACCGGCUAACUACGUGCCAGCAGCCGCGGUAAU